CGGAUCUCGCGAUGUUUCAGGGUGAGCCGGACGCAGGCGUGCCUGCGCAGUGCGCGGAGGAGUGCUGUUCGUGUGUUCGAGUCCCUGGGUUGCUUCCUGGGGUCUGUGGUGCUGGGUGUGCUAUCUGCGUGUGAUUCUCUAGCGAGAGAUUGUGGGCGAGUGACCGAGUGGGCAAGGGGCCGUCACUGUGUGUGCGUGAUUUUGACAGUGUGUGGUGGUAGCUUCUGACUCCGCGUGGGUCGUUGAAUGUAUGACUGGGACCGUUUAGCGGUGGAUACACAACUGUGUGCGGCUGUGGAAGAUUGCCUCAUCCGUUACGUUCCCAUUUCCGUGGAACAACAGUUUUACCAGAAGGUUUCGAAGGAACCUUAAAGUUUGGAAGCGUAAGAGUUUAUCUGGUAACUAAUUUUAAACAUUACAUCUAUGGUGAGUUAAAUGUGGGUUAUGAAGGAGAACGCAAAAUAAAAACGUUAUAAAGAUGUAAAGGAGUUUUAUGGGGCGGCAUCUCUUGGGCAAAUAUCAGACCGCCGUAGGUAGUUGUUAAUUCUCUCUUGUUUUUAGGCGGCUUUGGUGUCAUCAAAUGUGAGAAGCCCUGGACUUUACACAUCCCGAGCCAGUGUGAUCCAGUAUGAUUGGGAGUCCGAGUGCCAGAUGCCGGUCAGGACCUGUUAUGCUGGGUCUCAGAAUGCGGAAACUCUCCCUGUCCGAGGUGGAACAGUUUGUCCUUGAGUGAGGACUGGAGUCCUGAGUGACUCUUUUGAUUUGAUCCUGUUUCCCUCAAACCUGAGAUGGGAGCCUCACUGUAUUGCCCAGGCUGGUCUUGAACUCCGGAGCUCAAGUGAUCGUCUUGCUUCAGCCUUGCAAAAUGAUGGUGAAGCUGCAUCAUUGUCUGGGAUGGAGUCCCUGUCUGACCGGGCCAUGUUGUAUGUUCCUUGCUGUACACGUGGUUGACAAAGAAAAGGGAAGAUGGAGCUGCGAUGUUGGACAUGCCUGGCCCCCAGGACAUACAGCCCUGCCGAGCAAAUAAUGAACGUAACUCACAAACUUCCUGCUUAUCAUCAAACGCACGCAUCCACUUAUCAUCAAACACCUCGGGUGACAGAAGAAUGCAGGUCAGCUCCCUGCUGCCUUGGCAUUAUCAAUCAGCCCAGGAACCAUCCUAUAAAAUCUCCAGCAAGCCUUUGUUUCCUUGCAGUCAGCUCCUCUUCCACUGAUUCUGCCUGUUGCUCCCUGAUAACAUACUUUGAUACUGUCUUUAAUAAAUCUGCCUUUCUUCACCCACAGCUGUCUUGGUAAGUUCUUUUACCUCUGUGCCACCAGCCCAAACAGUUGCUGCUCACCUGAAACAAAGAAUAAAUGUGGUUUUUAAGCAAAUCAAAGUUUACUUAGUGACUCUUACCAAGCUUUGUAGAAGGUUGUGCCAAAAGGAGAAGCUUAAGAGAUAACGGCUAAAAAUAAAAAAUGUUACCACCGCCCAAGGGGUUCUUCCUGCCCACUGCAUAAAGAAA
RNAcentral lists this long non-coding RNA (1508 nucleotides) under Homo sapiens (human). RNAcentral describes it as "PREDICTED lncRNA (TCONS_00136500)". Lineage: Eukaryota; Metazoa; Chordata; Mammalia; Primates; Hominidae. The record is from RNAcentral.